Molecule: ribosomal RNA, 250 nt
Filed under: uncultured prokaryote
Description: partial 16S ribosomal RNA
Rfam family: Bacterial small subunit ribosomal RNA
Source: RNAcentral
UACGGAAGGUCCUGGCGUUAUCCGGAUUUAUUGGGUUCAAAGGGAGCGCAGGCGGGAGGUUAAACGUGACGUGAAAUGUAGCCGCUCAACGGCUGGACUGCGUCGCGAACUGGCUUUCUUGAGUGGGCACGACGUCGGCGGAAUUCGUGGUGUAGCGGUGAAAUGCCUAGAUAUCACGAAGAACCCCGAUUGCGAAGGCAGCUGACGAGUCCUCUACUGACGCUAAAGCUCGAAGGUGCGGGUAUCGAAC